UUGAAUCUGGAAAUGCAACCUUUCUCUUGUUCGGCAUAGACUUUUUUCAACAACAUAACCACUUUUCAGUAUUUUAUUUCUGACAUACAGCGUUAAAGGAAAUGGUUCACGAACGGACCGCGUGGCCUAAUGGAUAAGGCGUCUGACUUCGGAUCAGAAGAUUGAGGGUUCGAGUCCCUUCGUGGUCGUAAAAUUUUCUCGCAGUUACGCGUAGCCCGAUACACUUUCAUGUCAUUUCCGGAAAAUUCUACGAUUCAGGUAUUACCAGCACCUUCACUAGUGGAUUCUCUCUUGCUCGGGAAAAGUUAUAUAAAUAAAUGGUCGUGUAUUUUUUAUAUUAGCGGUUAGACGACGGAUGGAUGAUGGACGAAAAAUUUCUCCAUUCAUCUAUUCAAACUGAACAAAUAAUCUGAAAAUAUGUAAAAUAUUUUUGCUUGUAUCCUUACGGUCUCUAAAUUAUAAUUUAGACUUAUCAUUUAAUUUAUAAUUCUCUCUCAGAAAAGAGUGUGUUUAAAGCACAGCUUUUGUGCCUAGCCCCAGUGGCCUAAUGGAUAAGGCACUGGCCUCCUAAGCCAGGGAUUGUGGGUUCGAGUCCCAUCUGGGGUGUCACUCUUUUUGUAGAAUCCGAUUUGAAAUUAAUGAAUGUUUAAUGCGAAAAGUAAUCACAAAACCAGACUUCAGACAAAAAUACAAUUUAGAUGAAUUACAAACAUUCAUUAUACCCAUUUUUAUAGUACUGAGUUACUAACACAAUUCUGUGGAGCAGAGUGGCGCAGCGGAAGCGUGCUGGGCCCAUAACCCAGAGGUCGAUGGAUCGAAACCAUCCUCUGCUAACUUUUUUAAAGCAUACAAAUAUUUUAGAAAAUAAAUCCAUCCUGUAUGAAUCAGCUAUGUCCAAUAGCGCCCGUAAGUAGAGGAUAGUUGCUUACUUUUCUGCAAAUUUCGCCGAAUUUGAGCACCAAGACGCUUCACCUUCCUCCACAGGCGGAAAUGUCGUACAGGAACUUGGCGAUUGGUGUCAAGGUUUCCGUCGCUCAAAUGUACGAAUCGUUUCUAGUACUGAAUUAUUAAUUUUUCAAACGGACAAACAAUGCCUCGCACAGCUAUUGAAGCUCUUUCCUGAUUGACAGGGUAAAUAAAGGAGUUGAAGUAUGGGAGUACAGCGACACCUAGCAGUCUGCAAAAAUACUUCAGCCAUGCACUCAAGGAUUUAUCAUCAGUGUCAAUCUGUUAUUUGAAUUAAAACCACAUGAUCAGCAGGUGAGUCAAUUUAUAAAAUUCAUAUUACUCAUUAAAAUACUGUAAUAGAUGUGUAUGUUUGACAGAAUCAGAAUUUCUUUUGUUGCAGGUGGUGCCAUGAUUAUGUAGGGAGUGAAAUUUAAGGUUAAAACGAAUGUUCUAUAACUUUAAAUAAGACGUAGAGGUAAUAUCGCGAGAACAAAGAUCCGCGAUUAGGAUCGCGAGAGAAUAGGUAGUGGGGGCGGUUUGAGAGAGCCGAAGAGGGAGAGAGAGGAUGCGCACUGUGUAAUCGGAUGUAGCUAAUCUGCGAUGUUCACCUCCUCAUGUUGAAUAAAUCAAGUGUUAUGACUUCCAGAGCUCCCUGUCGGUGCCCUCCUUGCAACAAAGCCUAGAACUCACGAUCCAGCGCGCGGUGGUAGUUAGCUUCAAGGCUGUCACCCAAGAUCCUCAGCACACUGCAUUAUGGAGAGCACACUGACCAGCUGCAUCACCGCGUGGUACAGCAGAGCUACAGCUAUGGACUGUAAACGCCUGCAGAGAGUGGUGAAGACGGGAGAAGAUCAUCAGGACUCCGCUGCCCUCUUUGCAGAGCAGCUACCUACCGAGUCCAGAGGAGAGCUGCCUCCAUCCUCAAAGACCCCACACACCCCCAACACGGACUGUUCACACUUCUGCCCUCAGGACGGAGGUACAGAAGUGUGAAAUCUAGAGCCUCCCGACUUAACAACUCCUUCUCCCCCACUGCCAUCAGACUCCUUUACAGCCGACAGGAGUAUGAAUAAUGCACAUCAUCACCUACCUCAUAUUGUAAUUUUUUGCACAUUAAGCUCUUUUGCACAUUACACUUUAAAGUAUAUAUUUACUAUUUUUUCUAAUAUAUUGUACCUCAGCAUUUUGUGUGGACAGCAAACAAGGAAUUUCAUUGCACAGAGAAAUGCACUUUUCUACUGUACAUAUGACAAUAAACGCUUUGAGUCUUGAAUCUGAAUCUCAAAGCUGUUCAGUUAUGCCCAAGCUCACUGAUUUGGUGCAGCAUCCCAUAUAUUAAGUGACCAUCUUGAAAUGCUCUUUUUGCACUGAGGAAUGUCCAACCUGCGCUGAAACGUUUGCAUUUUCUUAGUCUAUGCACUUUUUUUUUUUUACACAGUUUUUCAUUGACUAUACUGCCCUGUGUCAAGACCCGUCUCUGUCUGGUUUGUUGUUUUCCUAUUUGGCCAGCAGGUGUCACUGGCUAUGCCACUCGUAGUGUUUGAAUUCUAAGUGCUUGGUGGUGAUGACCCUCACCUGUGUCUUGUUAUUGUUAUGAUCUGCACCUGGUCCUCAUGUAGCCCUUGUUUCAAGUGCUUGCCCUUGCCCUGUUCCUUUGUCUGUCACUGUAUGCUUUUACUCCUUUUACUUUUUGUUCCUGCUGUGUUUCUCCUCUAGUCCUAGCCGUUGUUAACAUUAUUCAUCUUGUUUUCCUCUUGUUUCCAGUUACUCAUGUGGUUGAAUAAAGCCCCUUUUGCUUCAACUAAA
Molecule: long non-coding RNA, 2754 nt
Organism: Paramormyrops kingsleyae
Lineage: Eukaryota; Metazoa; Chordata; Actinopteri; Osteoglossiformes; Mormyridae
Source: RefSeq, a predicted model, not a curated record